Molecule: long non-coding RNA, 22462 nt
Filed under: Malus domestica (apple)
Lineage: Eukaryota; Viridiplantae; Streptophyta; Magnoliopsida; Rosales; Rosaceae
Description: long non-coding RNA (MDOM_LNC010079)
Source: RNAcentral
AUGUUUUGGAAGCGGAAGUGUGUGAAAUGUAUUGAUGCUGAUGAUAGUGCCGAAUUUGGCGACACUCCUCAACUAGCAGAGCAGUAACAGAGCUUCUUCCAACUCAAAUUUAAUGAUUCAAGCUGCGUAAGAUUUGCAUAACAUUCCCAAGUUGUAGUCGAUGUGCCUGAGUGGUUGAGUGCUUGACUAAUGAAUAUAACCACUAAGAUUUGGAUUGUUUUUGGGGGGUAAGAAAUAACAUUGCUAAUUUUGGAUUUAUGGGUUUGAAUUUUUGUCGAGUAUGUGAUUCUUUGUUCUCUGUGUAUUGAUUGACUGAUGAAAAAAUGUAGCCAUAAAAUAUUGAUUUUGACAAUUUUGAUUAUGAGAUUGCCUCUUUAUAUAAUGUACAAUUUUGUAGUUGCCUUCAAUGUUGUUGUCAUUGGCUCGGGUGCUCAAAAGAUCUAUACAAUGUCGUUUUGCCAAUAAUGUGGGUAUUGAGUUGAAUAUCAUAAAAGUGAACAUCUGUAACUAUAGAUCUGCAAAUGUUUGGUAGAUGGAGCAAUUUGGGAAUUUGUUACCUAAACAUUGAUGGAUAACCUGUAAUCAUUUUUUUUACGUGAAUGUUGAAUGUUGAAUGCCUUAUCGUUUUGGUUUUUAACAUGCCAUUGUUUAUCUAUAUCCAAAAUGAGUCUGAAUCUUUUCAAAUAAAUGUUACUUUCUGAUUUGAGAAAUUGUAAUUCACCUUUUAUUGAUCUUUUCCUAUAUAUUUGAUUUACAGAGCUCUUGGGUUGUCAAUUGUGACUGGAAAUUCUACUCCUCACAUGGAUCAUAGGUAAAAAACACCAUUUUCUUUUCUUAGUACUUAUCCUUCAAAUGUGUUUUAUUAUGAGAUUGUCUCUUUAUAUAUUGUAAAUUUCUAGCACUUAUGCAAACUUUAGAGCAUAUAGGAAAGCAAAUGUUUUCCAUUUUAGGUACAAAGAACCAAAUAUGUUAUCUAUGUCUUCAAUGAAAUGCUUUAGUGUUAUUGCUUUUAAUUGUUUAGUUUUAACUAAUGUUUGGAUGCUUAAAAAUAUUAUUCAUUUUGUCUUUUUGAACCUGAACAGAUAAUCAAAUUGGAAUAGAUUCUAUUUUUUGAGUUCAUUUUGCUUAUUAGUUUAACUUACUUCUUUGAACCAAAUGCAAAUUCCAAUCUUGCAUUGUUAAGCCCCGAAAUUAGAACAAAAAAACUUGCAUGAAAUUGAAGUUUUCUCUGAUUGAGAACUCCUUUUUCUUCUACUUGAAGUUUUCUCUGAUUGAUUUUUCAAUAAUUUAGAAAUGGGUAUGUUAAAUUGUGGGUUACGAUUUCAAAAUCCACAGUGGAGCGUGGACAUUUUUUCUAGUAUGAAACUUAUUUUGCACAACGAUUAACAAAUUGUUUGCACCUUUACGCAAUCUCCAUUAGAAAAGCCACAAGUUUCUCGACCAAGCAAAUUGGUAUCAUAAUAUCCAACGGUUGCAAAUUAGCCUUUUCUCAUUUUUUUAAUUUUCUUUUGAAAAACACCAAGGAGCAGGUGCAGCCAGCACCAUUACUAUGUCUGUCCAAACAUCAAAUGCCCAUUUCUUUCUUUUUCUUCUGCAAAACGGCCACAAUACCCAAACUCUUAUUUUCUAUAAGAAGCUUGCUAAAGACCAAGUACCACAUCAACUAACUGAACUACUUAUAUUAUUGGGGUGAUUUUUAGUCAUCACCCUCAAGUGGUGGUAAUGUUUACCAUCUUAUUUAUUGCCGUUGUAUGGGUUUAAAUUUUAAGAUUUGUUCCAUCCAAGGUAUUAAACUCAUAUGAUGAUGAUAAAUAAGGUAGUGAGCAUCACCAUCAUUUGAGUGUGGAGAACAAAAAUAUUCUUAUGAUAUUGUACGCAAAAGGGGAAAAUUUCCUAAUUGCAAAAGCAAAAUAGAGAUGUAAUAAUUAAAGAGUUUUUAAGCUCUUAAUUAAUGGUAUUUAAUUUGCUUGGUAACGAAAAUUAUUUGGGAGUCAGUCACCUACCGCAUGCAUGCAAAAUGAAGGAGACAAUUCAUGGACCAAAUUACACCACCAUAUCCUGUGGAACUUCACUUAUAGCCCCAUGUUCACUUGGAAGACAUGAAAAUUAUGAACAAAAUUGAUUUUUCUCCUAACCAUGCCAGCUGGGUCAUGAUAAAUUUAUAACUCAAUCAAGUUUAUUUGCUUUGAUAAUUAAUUUUUGAGGUAACAAUUUAUGAUGAGAUUCAUUAAAUACUAACAAUUAGAGGACAAUAUUAAUUGGAGUGCGUUAAAGAUAGUGCAAUAAGUGACACAGCUAUAAGCCACAUUAUCGUGUCCUAAAAACAAAUUUGUUAGUAUUCUGUCGAUUGCCGUUAAAAAAAUCUCUAUCAAUUGUAAUAAAUAUAAAUUCAAAUCCAUUAAUGAACGGUUGAAAAUUUUUCAUUUUUGCAGUUUUAAUAGAAACUCUUUCAUGCCACUUAGUACUACGGUCUUGUAGUAUUCUCUUCACUUGUAAGUGGGAGGUUUUGGGUUUGAUUCUUGUCAAAGACGAAUUUGAACCACAUUAUUGUAAGCUCAUUGAGAAACUAAGCCUAUCCCCUUCCUCUUAGUAUAGAUAAUAUCAAUUGUUCGGAAAAAAAAAAAAAAAAACUCUUUCAUUGUCAAGAUUAGUAGAACGACUGCUAAAACCAUUGGAUUAGAAUUCAGAAUGCAUAUGAGAGUAUUGAUAGCAACAAUGCUAGAAAACCUUGAUUUGUCAUAGCCCAUGGGCUUUAAAGUUGCGGUUAAAAUUCAACAAAAAAAUGGCCAUUUGCAAACCCUAUUAACCAUACCAAUCAACUUGAACCCAAUUCCCUUCACUUAUAUGGAAGAGUUCAUAUAAGUAACAGUCUGAGAUUAGUCAAUUUUCAAUAAACAUGUCCAGUCAACUUGGUGUUUAGAAGAACAUUGUUUAACUUUAGAUCACAAUGAACUAUCGGUGUUUCGCUAUGGUUAUGAAAAUAAUCCAGUGAAUAAUAGCAACACCAAUAACAAUAUCUAGCCCUUGAAGAAGAUUUUAUUCUUGGAUGUAUUGAUCUCUUUCCUCUUCAAUUACAGGAGAUGGAUGCAAAUCAUGCAACAACUCCUCUAAACUCCUUUGGUGUAUCAACUCAAAAACUAGAGCCUUGAAAACAUCAUGGAGAAAACAUGCAGAUAUGACCUUGACGAGAUUUUGAUGCUUGAUAUUUCUCAAAGCCUCAUAUGCAGCUAUGAACCUCUUUGUUAAACACCUUCAUAUCUACAAGUACAAGCCGAGCUCUAUUGUCAGUAUAACAACCCCCUUGUAUACAAACUUGAAAUUGCCAACACCAGUCAAAUUAGCUGAAGAAAACCGAUCAGUGGCAUUUGAUAAAGUAGCAUAUGACACUUACACUGAUGGUGGUCAAGUCUGAUAGGAACUAGAUUUUAAUUUAUUUCAAUAGUACACAAAAAUACCAAGUACAAGAAGUAGUAAUACACUCUUCACACAAUGAACCUCAUUUGUGAUUAUUUACAUUGCAAACUUCCACAUCUACUGUGGUAACAUAAAAACUAGACUUCACAGGCAGUACACGAAAUUUCUCUAUCACAAAAGCACAUAAAAAGGAGUUUCUAUCCAAGAAAAGUAUUCCUGAUGGAAUGAAGUUCAGAUGCAGCGUCAUUGAUAUUCUUUAGUCGAUCUGUUGCGGAUUCAGCAGAACAAGCAAUUCCAAUUCUAAAUAUUGAACUCAAGCACACCUCAACUUUAUGAGUUCUCCCACUGCAUUGAUUGGGAUUCUCGUUCGUGCCUCCUUCAAGAAGUGGUGCGUCUGCAAUCUCAGUAAUUCGCCCGGGGAAAGCCAUCUUGACAAAAUUAUGAAGGUUCAAGUUAUCACCAAACAUGUUGUCAGUUGGUCUCUUCCCUGUAAACAUCUCCAACAAAAGAAUGCCAAAGCUGUAGACAUCACCAUUCGUUGACACCUCACUCCCUAUGCCAUACUCUACAAUUCAAACAUCACAUUUGUGUAUAAAUAGUUCAGUUUGAAUUUUGUAAAUUAAAUACUCCAAAAUAAAAAAGGAAAUAUAAUGAAGUAUACAUCGAACAUGUAUAUACCUGGAGCUGCAUAACCAACCGUUCCUCUUAUUCCAACGGAACUUGUCUGACUCUGAAUUGCUGAAACAUUACUCGUUAAUUGUGAGAGAAACCUUACUAAUCCAAAGUCUGAAACAUGGCCAGUCAAUUCGUUGUCCAAGAGAACGUUGCUUGGCUUGAGAUCACAAUGAACUAUUGGCAUUUCACAAUGAUUAUGAAGAUAAUCCAGUGCACAAGCAACACCAAUGGCAAUUUCUAGCCUCUGAAUAAGACUUAAAUUCUUGGGUACAUGAUCUCUUAACUCUUGAGUUCCAGUAGGUGGAUGCAGCCACUCCUCUAAGCUCCCGUUGUCCAUGAACUCAUAAACUAGAGCUUUGAAAUCAUUACCAUGAAAAUCAACACUUGAACACACGGUUAUAAUCUUGACGAGAUUUCGGUGCCUAAUAUUUCUCAAAGCUUCACAUUCGGCUAUGAAACUCCUCGAAGCUCCAUGGCGUAACAAGUUAAACACCUUCACGGCAACAAGUUGAGCUUUAUCAUCCUCAUCAAGAACUCCCUUGUACACAGACCCAAAACUACCAGCACCAAUUAAAUUAGCCUCUGAGAACCGAUCAGUAACUUUGAGUAGAGUAGCAUAUGACACUUGUAAAAUAGUGUUCCCCAAAGUGCUUAAUGAAAUUUCUUUCCUUUUCUUCCUCGACGAACAAAGAAAGAAAUAGGAGAAUACCAUGGCUAUUCCUAAAAGAGCAAGUCCAAAUACUAAAGGGAGUAUUAGUUUCAAGCUACGAGACAAUCUUCGUUUCUUGGUCUCUUUAGACUUGCACUUAGGAAGCUUUAAAUUAGCAACAUGGCUGCACAGAUUAGUGUUGCCAACAACUGAAAUAGCACUCGCAUUUUUGAAAACACCUCCAGUUGGUACCACUCCCCAAAAUUGAUUGAAUGAUAAGUUCAGAUUACUCAGGAUUCUAAAGCCUUCUAAAAAAUUUGGAAUUUCACCUGAAAAAUUAUUGCGAGAAAGGUCUAGAUUUCGAAUCCCUCUCACUGAACUCAUAGACAAAGGAAUGGACCCGUUGAAGAAGUUUCCUUGCAAAUGCAGGACUUCUAAACUCUCACAACCACCAAGGCUACUGGGGAGUUCUCCAGAUAACAUGUUAUCAGAAAGAUAAAAUUCACUUAGACUCUGGAAAUUCCCAACCUCCAAGGGAAGGGAACCUGUGAAGAGGUUAUUAGACAAGUCCAAAGAAAUCGAUAAGGAGGGGAGUCUAAAAACUUGUUUGGGUAUUGUGCCAUUAAGAAGGUUAUAAGAAAGAUUCAACGAUUGCAACCCAUGGCAUUCCCCCAGACCUGAAGGAAUGCUGCCCUCAAGAUGAUUUCCAUCCAACCCAAGAUAGCAUAACUUGGUUAAAUUUCUUAAGGAAGACGGAAUAUUUCUUGAUAAUUUGUUAUUGGAAAUAUCUAAUAUUCCAAGGUUUGAAAGCUUACCCAUGUCAGAGGGGAUGUUACCCGUGAAGCUAUUAUUCCCCAAAUACAACGAUUGCAAGCUCACCAGAUCCCCUAUCCCAGAUGGGAUGCUUCCAUAUAUUUGGUUACCGCCAACCAAAAACGUUUCAAGUUUGGUUGAGAGAUUGCAUACUGACAUCGGCAAUGUCCCUCCAAAAUUGUUGUCGUUAAUAAUCAACCUUUGUAACUGGGUGGCAUUGGUCGAGUCCGAGAGAAAACUUAAGUCACCAUCUUUACCGCUUCCAAUAUUAUUAAAUUGAACGCUGAAAAUCCGGAGGUUGUGAAGCUUUUGGAGAUUCGGUACCCGUCCGAUUAGGUUGUUAUCCCCAACAUGUAAUAACCAAACACUUGUGACGUUGAAUAUUGAGGGAGGUAUGGACCCAGUGAGUUGGUUGCUGCCGAAGUUGAAGAAUUCGAGAUUAGGAAGACUUUUGCCAAUAUCUGAUGGAAUACUCCCUUGAAUUUGGUUACGGUUUAUGGAAAAUGAAACAAGAGAAGAGAGGUUAUAAAUGGAGGAAGGGAUGCUACCAGACAACUGAUUUAACCCCAAUCCCAAGAAGGUUAAUUUUUUCAAUUGGCCAAGAGAACAGGGGAUGUUUCCCAUCAAGUUAUUACUACCAAGACUUAUUAGCUGGAGAGACGACAGGUUCCCCAAGGAAGGAGGGACCUGUCCCGUUACAUUAUUAUCGUAUGAUGAAAAUUUUUGCAGUUUCGACAGCAAUCCAAUUUCUGAAGGAAUUUUACCCACCAAUUUGUUGAGAGAGAAAUUCACAUGGAUAAGGUUGAAGCAAUAUGAUAUAUUGUGUGGAAUACUGCCACUAAACGAGUUAACGUCUAAUCGCAAUACCUGCAGCCUACGCAAAUUCCCAAUUUGUGGAGAAAUUUCAUGACUGAAGCUAUUAUUUCGCAGCCACAGCUCCCUUAGAAAACUUAGAUUUCCAAUGUUUGGGGAUAGUUUCCCUACCAGAUUUUGAGAUUGCAGGUCCAGUUUAGUGACCCUUUGGCGAUGUCGUUGACUGCACGUCACACCAUGCCACAUGCAAAAGUGCAUGGAUUCGUUCCAAGAGCUCAUCACGUUGUAAUUAUGGAGAUCUUGCUUUAUUUGAGCUUUGAUGGCAAGCAGCGCCAGCCUAUCCGUCGCAUUCCCUCCGAGUCCCGAUUGAAGGGAGCUCCAACAGCAAACGAACACUGCACUGAAAAGCAAGUAUAUUAAGAUCAAUUUCAAAACCAAAACCCCCAUUCCUGAUCUGAUUAACUAUAUAAGUAGAGAGAGAAGCAGAAAGAAAUAGAGAGAUGGGUGUUGAGUUGUGAGUUUGGUGAGUUCCAUUUGUUGCUUGACAAGGAAAUUUAUAGAAGGAUAGGAACAUAGGAGGAACUUACACCACGGUUUCUGGUUCGUGAAAUUCAAAUAUGAGAAGGAAUAUUAGGACCUAUUGUCUGGCACUUUCUGUACGCCAAGGACCAAGACCAUUAAAGCACCUUGAUUCCAGGAGCUGACUGGGACCAUUUGGCAACCAUCCAAAAUGAAAAAAACAAAUACAUGGAAUCCUAUAUUUUGGUUACAUUAGACGUCACGCUGGUGUCAAUAUGAAAGUUUGAAGUCUCUACAUUUUUUGAGGGGCUGGAUUGUGAGAUUGCUGAUUUUCUCAUAGUUCCCCUAAAGUACCAUUGCAAGAAAGCUUGUUGUGGAUGCAACCUUUCUAAAUAUUGUAACAGUUACCAGUUAGAUCAAACUUUAUGAAUUUUUAAACUUCAUGGGGGCUCAAGACUCGAGAGCAUUGAUUGAAAAUUGUAACAUGAAGGCUUAAGUCCCCAUUAAACACGUUGGCAGUGGGUCUCUUCCUUGUAAACAUCUCCUGCAAGAGAAUUUCAAAACUGUAGAGAUAUCCAGUUAUUAACGCCUCACUUCCCAUACCAUACUCUGCCAUUCAAACAUCAGAAAAUAUUGUUAGCAAAUUGAGAACAAAAUAGUUGAAUUAUGCAAAAUUUAAAAUUUAAAAAAAAAGGAUAUUGUGGAGAGGAUGUGAAUAUUUACCUAAAAUCACAUAACCAAUCAUUCUUGUUAGUCCAGUGGAACUUGUCUGAUUUGUUGAAGCUGUUGUACUGGUCAGUUGUGAGAGAAACCUUGCUAAUCAAAGUCAAACAUGUCCAGUCGACAUGUUGUCCAAAAGAACAGUACUUGGUUUCAGAUCACAAUGAACUAUCGGUGUUUCGGAGUGAUUAUGAAGAUAAUCGACUAAUAUAAAACAAGCAACAUCUAUGGAAAUGCUGAGCCUUUGCAAAAGAUUUAAACUCUUGGGUGCCUCUCUCGCUUCUUCAAUAUCAGUCGGUGGAUGCAGCCACGUCUCUAAGCUUCCUUUUUCCAUGUACUCAUAAACCAAAGCCUUGAAAUCAUUACCAAGAGAAUCAACACUUGAACAUGCAGUUAUAAUUCUGACGAGAUUUUGAAGCUUGAAAUUUCUCAAAGCCUCACAUUCAUAUAAAGAACAAUAUGCCAGUACAAAACCAAUUUAUAGUACUAGCAAGGUACAUUGUAGAAGCAAUUUCCUGACUCAGAAUUUUGUGAGUCAUUUCUUAAAUUACGUUUCUUGAAGGCAUUAGAUUAAACGGCAAACUAGAACGACUGAAUGCAACCAUGAUCGUAUUAAUAAGCAAGCACUUCUAUCUAUCAAAUAUUAAGGCGGAAGUUAAUUUACCAAACAAUAAAUAUUUUGUGACUUGCAAUUCCAUUUUGACGUAGGGACACUGCUCAAAUAAUGACACCAGGAACAGUAAUUGUUUAGAUUGACCGCUCGAAAAAGAGUAUACCUGUCAAAAACAUGACGACUGUUAGAAAAUGCAUGCAUAUUCUGAUACUACGUAGAUACGAGGAAAAUGAACUUUUAUUUCCAAUAACAAAACAACAACCUGCCAACACAUACAACCCAAAACAACAAAGUAGAAGCCGCUAUCAACAAAGUGACCAAUUAUUACCACACAGAGAACAGCGAUAACGAUAACACAAUGCCUUCUCCAAACCAUUCUGAUCAGGAACAAGCAGAUACAGAGACUAUUUGCAAUGACAAUAAUGAAGACAUAUUACAGGACAUAUGAUAUCUACAUAUCUACACAAAAUCCAGUUCUCUGAUUUGAUAAAAAAAAUGUGCACACGUCAACUGUGGCUACCAGAUUCUCAUGCAGGGACUCGAUUAGGUUCAUGAAGUCAAACAGUUAAAUCAGAGAUCGAUGAGGAGCUUACCCAACAAUCAAUAGUAUCAAAGAGAGGACCCACAAUACAUAUUGAUACGUCUUGUGUUUAGAUUUAACUGGAGUAGUAAGACAUCCAGGGGAGCAUUCAGUUGGGUAAGUCAUUUAAACUGGGGGCGGAUCAAAAACAAAAAUCCAAGAAGAAAUCCGGACACAAAUCCUCCAAUAUGAGCAAAGUUGUCCAUGUGUGGUAGAAUUCCCACUGCUAAGUUUAUUAUGAUGAUGUAAAGGAGAGUAAGCAUUGUUGCUAACAGCAGAUCGAAAUCUGAAACUGUAAGAUCAAAGGGUCGUUCACAUACUAUAAAGAGGUGCAUCAUUGAGUAUACAGAAAUUUAUUUACCUUAUUUACAUACAUUGUCCAAUUUGAUGUGAGCUCUCAAAGCAUGCUUCCUAGUAAACCAAAAAGUGCACCACAAUCCUGGGAUUGCUCUCGCACGAACUCGCUUAACUUCGAAGUUCCUACGAAACCCGAAGCUAGUGAGCUCCCAAAAAGCAUCGUGCUAGGUAGAGAUGAGAAUACACACGAGAACCUCUCAGUCGGUCCCGUUUUGGGCCCCGACCACGCUUUCAUGGUUUUGUUUCUGGAAACUCACACGAGAACUUCUCAGUCGGUCACCCAUCCUGGGAUUGCUCUCGCACAAACUCGCUUAACUUCGGAGUUCCUACGGAACCCGAAGCCAGUGAGCUCCCGAAAUGCCUCGUGCUAGGUAGAGAUGAGAAUAUACAUAUAAAGCUUAAAGGAUCCACUUCCCUGGACGAUGUGGGAUCUUACAACCAGACAUGAGAUAUAGGAAACCAAUUCGAACCACCAAAGAACAAAUCAGAAAAACAUUAGAAUUUCAAACCAAUUAGUUAAAACAGUUCAUCAAAACAACUAUACAUGAUGUAGAUCAGCAUCAAACUAUUAUUUUUUCAAUCUUUUCAAAUAGACGGCAUCUUGAAACAUUUCAAAAUGAGGCGCCAUGUCUACAUGUACAGGACAUCCAAAACAAUCUUUGUUCACACAGAUGUGAUGGAAAACUGAAAUAAUCUCCCAGCUUCUGUUUCAAGCAAUUUUAUUCUGUAAAAUGGAAUACUAUGUCUAAAACUAAAGUUUGAACCCCAUCUUCGGUGUAUAAACUCUUUUCUUUGCUCACCGCUGAAUAAAACAUCCUCUUGUUUCCAUCAAACCAAACAACAUACCGGUGUAAGUUAUAAUGCAACCAGCACUAUGACCACUACUCUAGGAUUACAAUUCAAUAAACAAAUGCAUAGGAAAUCCUCAAUAGAUUAAUCGCAAGGUAGCUAAAGCCAUCCGGAAAGUGUUUGUCUUCUAGAUUUAUGAAAGAAGUUUUGCACUUGGUAACUAAUUUAUUAUUCUACAACUUAUGUCGUGUGCUUUAUCUUUUACUACAAACACUUAUGGAUGUGGCCAUACAUGCAUGAUAACAUACAUGAAGCUAAAAAUCCAGAUGCAUACCAAAUCCAAAUUCUUGCUCAAGCCGAAUUUCAAUGAAUACAAGACUUAGCAUAUUGGAAAGCACAUGGAAAAAUCCAGAUGCAUAACUAAUCGUAGAUUUGCUUGUAUAUUCACUAGGUUUCCCAAGUCCAACAUUGAUUAAAAACAGAAUUACAUCAAGCUUCAUGCAGUUCAACUAUUUUCUUUACAGCCAUGUGUACUCCAUCCUGACAACAUUCCAUAAGCCGGAAAAUCACUUAUAGUCCAUAAGACAGCAGCCUUCAUUGUAAAACUUUGGUUGGAAUACGCAUCAUAAGUAGGAGUGCCAACCUCCCACAACUCAUUCAACUCGUCAAUCAAUGGACGCAUGUAUACAUCAAUAUCUUUACCAGGACUGCGUGGUCCUGGUAUUAACAGAGACAACAAUAAAUUUGGCUGCUUCAUACACAUCCAAGGCGGCAAAUUGUAAACAGAAAGCACAACAGGCCAUGUGCUAUGGUCAUUCCUCAUUUUCCCAAAAGGAUUAAAUCCAUCACUGGCUAACCCCAAUCGGACAUUUCGAAUUUCUGAUGCAAAAUCCGGAUAUAUAUUAUCCAAAUGCUUCCAUGCUGGAGAAUCUGAAGGAUGUCUCAUAAACUCAUCCUUAGGACAUUCAGUUGCGUGCCACCUCAUAUGUUCAGCCAUAUGCUUCGACAUAAAAAAUCGUUGCAAUCUUGGUUUUAAAGGAAAAUACCACAUAACCUUAGCUGCGAUUUUUUUUCUUGAGCUAUCAUCUGCGUUGGUAAUUUUAUAUCUUGAUUUACCACAAACCGAGCACACGGUCAAAUCCGAAGUAUCUUUCCAAUAGAUCAUGCAAUCAUUAGGACAUGCAUCAAUUUUCACAUACGACAGACCCAAGUCAUUUAUAAGUUUUUUUGCCUUGUAACAGGUUUCAGGCAAACAAUCCCCUUCAGGCAACAUUCUUUUAAUUAACUCCAGUAAAGUGGUGAAGAUCUCAUCUGGCAUUCCCGCUAAACACUUAAUCUGAUACAGUCUUACAACUGCUUCCAAUUUCUUAAACUGCUUACAACCUGGCCACAAAUCUUGAUCUGCCUCUUCAAGCAACCUAAAAAAAGUCUCCACCUCUUCUGGACGCCCUUCCCUAAUGGGGGGUUCAGUAGACGGCCCAACACCUUCUUCUGUUAAUGGUUGGACAAAUACAUCAUUAAGAAAAUCAUGCAUGCCAAUCACCUCAUCUCCUGUUUCUUCUUCUCCAAUUGCCAUAUUUUGCUCUCCAAUGUUUUGCUCGCCAUGAUGUCGCCACCAAGCGUUUUUAUAAUCUUUAUCCAUAUCAUACAAUAUGAGAUGUUCAACAAUAGUGUUCCUAACAAAAGUGUAUCGAUUACAACAUCUUUUGCAAGGACAUCUAAACUUAUCAGGUCCAACACCAUUUGCAACUGCUUGAUCCAAAAACGAAUUAAUUCCAGCUGUAUACGCUUCAAAAUUUCGAGGUAUCGUCAACCAACUCUUGUCCAUGCUUUACCACUUUACGAGGGCAAAAUAGUACCUUCACACUAAGAUGCCUACAAUCUUUCAAUCCCUAUCAUGUAGGCAUAACUAUUAGAAUUUUCAAUUUCUAUCUUUCAACCCUCGAACUCUAUCACAAUUGCAAUCUUUUAAUUUUCAACACCUAUUAUAGUGAAAACAAAUUAAAAUAACAACAAAAAUUUAUCAAAAUUAUGCUUAUCUAAUCCAUUCUAAUAAAUACCAACCAAAAGUUAUCAAAAUAACAGCAAAAACAAAUUAAAAUAACAAUUACAAUACAAAAUAAAUUAAUUUAACAUAAUAUAUUCUUAUAUUACUAAAUAUUAUAAGUUUAUGUUAUAUUUAAUAUUGUUAAUUUAACAUAAAUGCUAAUAAAUAUUAUUCAUUUCCAUUUUCUCAUAACAAUUCAAGUGACAAAAUUAAUUAAUUCGACUAAAUAUAAAUUAAUUUAACAAAAAUAAUAGAAAUUUAUCUAAGCACUUAAAUUAGAAUUUUUAAAUAAAUAAACUUGUGUUUUAUACAAUUAAAGAAUUUAGUGAUAGAAACCUGAAUUAUGGAAGAAUUUCGUCGUCGUUGAAUUCUUUACGUAGUCAAGCAUCUCAAAUAAAUUCCCUACAAAAAUGAAUUGUAAAUAAAAAUUAAACAUAAUAGGAGAAAAUAAAAUAUUAAAAAGCAAAAAACACUUACUGUUGAAGAAGUAACAAACGAAAUUUGAAGAACAAAUAAGAAAGGUCUAAGUGAAAGAACAAGGGGAGGGUUUGUAAGAGAGGAAGAGCAAACAAGAAAAAUGGAAGAGAGGAUGAAAGAGAACACGGGAGGGUAUAUAAAGACCCUCAAUCCGUAGCUACAACCGACACUAAGUUUUAAAAUAUUUUAAAAAACUAAAAUCUAUGUCGCUCAGAACCGACGCAGGCUUUAAAUUAUUUAAAAACAAUAAUUUAUGUCGCUUAAAAGCGACACUAAUACUUUAUGUCGCUAAAAAGCGACGCUAUUAUUUAAAAUUAUUAAAAUAUAUGUCGGUUCUAAGCGACGUUAAAUUUUUACGUCGGUUUAAAAGCGACGUAGACAUUUUAUGACGCUAAAAAGCGAUAGUAAAUCCGACGUCAUCUUCAUUUAGUGUCGCAACUGUCUUAUCUGCCACUAUAUUAAAUUAAACCGACGCUAGCCACUGACACUAUAAGGCCCUUUUGUAGUAGUGAUAACUACUAUAACCAAAAUUCCAAAUCCACCAAGUCACAAAACUUGCCAAAAAAUUGUAGAAACAUAACUUUCACAAUUACUCUUACCAAAAAAAGUCUCAACCUUGAUUGAUCCCACUCUAAUUUCACAAAAAAUAAAAAUAAAAAAAACCAGUCCAACCAUCCAACCCUCCUCAACAUUAUUUCACCAAAAACACACAAACAAAAGCAACUUACAUGAAAUGGGACUGCCACUGCGUCAGUUCCCCACAAUCCACAACUAAAACUUUCCAAAUUUCCACAUGCGAGCACCCAACAAAUCCCGAAACACAAAUUUCAAUCCAAAACUGCAAACCCCAACAAUUUUAAACACAAAAACUAAUAAAAGAGUGAAGCUUUACGUGGUUGAAGACGGCCCAAGAAGUGAGACUCAAAACCGAAUGAUAUAAGUUUUAUAUGAGGUGAGCUUCUAAUAAUUCUUUGUUUGUGCCAAAAUUAAAGGUUGUGGAUCUCUAUGUUUGGUUGAGUUUCUGACUGGAGGAAUCAUUCCCAGAUCGCGAGCUUGCAUCUACACAGAAGUCCAUCUGCCGCACAGUUGGUUGUGGGAAAUGAAAAUUGUACUGUUAUUUUGUUGCAGCUAUGGCCUCCGAAAGAUGACAUUCAUGUAUGAGCAAGAGGGGGGGUUACUGACGAAUUAUAGUCAUAAUCUAGCUGAAUUUGUAAGAGUUGUGAUUUAAAUUCCAAUGCUUUCGAAUCGUUUUAGUGUUAAGUCAUUUCCUUAAUUUCAAGUUUAUGUUGAAAUUGUGUGUGAUUUUGUGAUUUUUACAGCGAAACCAUUUAGCUGAAAGGGUAUUCGAGGGAUGGGCUUUUCUCUCGAACUUGGAUUAUCUACCCUCCUAUUUCAAUGUCUUUCCCGUGCCCUCCUGUUUUGUUUGGUCACGGUUAAUCCAUGCUAACAUUUUAUAUUAUUUUUUAUAAAAAUAAUAAGACAAAAAAAAAUAGUAAUAUAAAAUAUCGACGUGAUUUAACUGUGACCACACAAACAGGAGGGCACCGAAUUGGGAGGACAGAGAAUCCAAGUCCUUUUCUCUGUCUUCCUCUUGGGUCAUGUCAUCAAAGGACUUUUUUUUUUUUUUUUGCAGACCCACUUCAAAUCGAAUAGAUGGAAACUACCAACUCAUCUCUUGGAGGGUAACUUCUGGAGUUGUUAAUUUUUGUGAAAUAUUUGAUCUGGGUUUUUUUUUUGGGGGGGGGGGGGGGGAGUUUGAAAUUAGAUACUUAGUUUUUGAAAUAAUGCAAUACAAUAUGAUUAAAGAAAGAAGAUUCUUAUAUGAUCCACCUUUGUUCCUUAUUUAUUUUUAAUAUUUUUUUGUUUUCUAAUUUCGCUUUGCAUCCUUUUUAUGUCCAUCAGUUGGCACUCCAUGUUUUAAACUAACUCUAAAUCUUUGUUGCCAACUAUUUUUUGUGUUUUUUGAAUUACAGAAAAUUUGCUAGGUUUAAUUGUUUUUUAAUUUUACGGUUUAAUUGUUUUCCCUUAUUAUGAUCGAGUGGUAAAUUAGUUGAAUUCCACAGAGAACGAAUAGCUAAAUGCAUUUUCUUAAAUAUCUUGCAGUGGCACACUCUGGGGAUUUGUUGUUUUCAUGCUGUUUAAUGUGAAACGUAUGCAUAAAACUAGAGAGGAUUUAUCUGUAGUCACCUUCAGUAAUAUUAGUAGCUUGCGUAUUUCAUUACUCUGAUACUCUUCUAGCUGCUAGUUGGAAGAUCAUAAAUUCAUAAUACUAUUAUUGGUUUUGAAAACUCUAAAAUGUGACUGUUUUCUAUGAACUAUGACAGGGUCUAAUCUUUAUUUCUAGAUUGCAAUCAUUCCAAUUGUGGUUAGUACAGAUUAUACUCAUCUCUUUUUCAGUUUCGGUUUGUCACAUGUUCAUAAAAACUAACUAAACUAACUGCAGUUGCAACAGAAGUAUGCUUAACGAAUCCACCAUAAUUAAAAAUCUAUGCAAAGGAUUAUUCAACUAUUUUGCUUAAGAAUUUUCAGUUCAAUGUCCCAAUAAAUGAAUAUUAAAUUGGCUUUAAUUCGAAAAAAAAAAUCCAUUGCAAGUGUAUAGUAAAGCAAAGAACCACAAUCUUUUAAUUUACUUUUUCUGCUUUAGAGUAUGGGUCCCUUUCCUUCUCUAAAUCCCAAUUUUUAACUUCAUUUCAAAGGCCAUUACAUUGCAAAUGCCUCUUAUUUUUUCAUUGAAGUAUACAUCUUAAGUUGGAACAGGGAAAAUCCAUUCUGGCCAAUCAUCCAGCCAACAAAGAUUUACUCCAACUCCUUUCAAAGUCUUAAUCACAUUUCACAAAAGUUCAUUACUUUCAUUUCGAACGAUUGGAUUGCCGAUCACUAAAUCUUUUUUAGAAUGUACCUUUAUCUAGAAAGCACUUGAUUUCAAUUCUUCUUGACAAAAAUUAAUUGUUUCGAUUAACGUUGUCUAAUUGGAGCCCAAAGGGUUUUGGGUCAUUGCAGGUGAGCCCAAAGAGAAAAAAAAAAAUAGGCCGAGAGAGGGAGCCCAAAAGGGCUUGGGUUAGGCCCAAAAGAUACCGCAGCAGUGCUGGGUGUGUUCGUCGGGGAAGAAAGUCGGCGCCACUGCUUCAGGCUUCCGUGCUUUCAGACAAUGGUGCUUGGGGUGAGUCUAUAGGUCGUGGGAGACCUCGAAGGUGAACAGAGAUUUGAAAAAAAAUCUCAACAUUCUUUGUAAAACCCUAGAACUUCAAAUCGGGUUUUCGAAAAAUCUAAUGAAAUUCAAUCGAUGUCGGGGACAAGCUUCAGGCCAUCAAACAUGGUGACCCGAGGUGUGAGGAUGGGCUGCAGGCCAUCUUGCGAUGGUGGAGACGUCAUGAAGGGCGUCGGGUUUCUGGGUUUUAACCCGGAGCCUGCAGAUCCGGCUUGGGAACUCGAUGUGGCCAUCCAAGCUUCAGGCUUGGUUUAAGAUGCAAGGUCAUGGGUUCGAAGAACCCAGACUGUGAUUCCCGAUUUCGUUUUUUUUUUUCCAAUUCAAAUAUAAUUCAAUUCAAAGAAUAUUCAAUUCAAUAUUUUAAUAAAAGUACAUAUAUUUGAUGCAAUUCAUGGCAAAUAUCAAAUUCAUAUAAUUCAUCAAUUAUGAAUAUAAUGCAUACACAAUUUAGGUAGAAUCUAAAAUUCGAAAAACGUAAAGUUGGGUCAUGCAUUAUGAUAUACUUUCCCUGUUUUUGUCAAUUGUUUUAUGUUGUAGCAUACAUGAAUGAUUUGGUACGGUUAGAGAGGGAAAGGAACAUAAGGCCGGAUCCAGAAAUUGAUGCAUUUAUGAAGGUUUGUUAUUAUAAAUUAAUUUUGACACAAGAAAAAAGAAAGAAUUGAAUUUCGCAUUUUGUGAUUGUUUUAGUUUAACUAAAGUUUUAAUUUUAUUUUGGUCAUUUUCAUUGCAGAGUUUGCAAAAAAGAAAGAAUUGAAUUUUGGAUUUUGUAAUUGUUUUAGUUUAAUUGAAGUUUUUAUUUUAUUUUGGUCCUUUUCAUUGCAGAGUUUGCAAUUGGGGUGUGUAUACGCGUGUUCUGUAUGUUGUCCUGAAACAUGUGAUCAUAUUUACCUUUUUGAUAAUGACUAUGAUGAUACAAAACAUAUCUACAGGAAAUCCAUGCGUUGCAGAUUCCCAUAUGAUCAGAGAGGUCGACUUAUCUUGGAGGUAAUGCUAAUCAAAAUAUGCUACCAACCACCAGUCUCAUCUCUCUAAUUCCAGCAUGCUUUUAUAGUGUUGCCCUGGAUCACAUAUGAUGGUGGUAUGCUCUCCAUUGUUGGACGUCUUUAACUUCUUUUUCAUUUUGCUUGAUAGCCAUUUAUACCCUGGAAAGCAAUAAAUAUGCCGUGUUGCAAACAAGCACAUAAAAAAGCGUAACUUUGAUUUGGUGGUUUUUAUAAGCUCAGGAUCUUUUCUAUAUCGAAGAUUGAUUUUUCUAUCUUAACCAUUUGCUAGAUAGGAAAAUUGCCUGAGAUAGUUCCCGCUUAAAUCAUGCUCUCUCUCUCUCUCUCUCUCUCUCUCUCUCUCUCUCUCUCUCAAAUAGAGACAUGAUUCAAAAUUAACAUCACAAAUAUUGUUGAUGCCACAUCUUUUGUUGAGAAGUCAUGAAACAAAAGACAUGUUGCUAAGAUCCUGAAAGAUUGAACAAUAUUUGAACAGUCAGUGCUUGGAUAAAUAGUAGAAGACACGUGCAUGAGGUAGCACAGAGGAAAAUCCUUCCCGCUUCUUCCAUGCUCUGGCCUCUGCCGCUUCCAGCUCCGAACUCGGAUCUGAAGGCCUCAUGGGUAUAUUCGCUCACACUUCUCUCUCUUAUUUCCCUGCUAAUCAUUCCAAAUUUUAUUUUUGUGUGGAAUUUUAAAUUUUGAAAUCAGGGUAGAUUACAACCAUGUGUUACACAUUUGGGAUUUUGAGUACAUAUAGUAUUUCUAAGUUUUCCCUCUUUGUUUUAGAGAUAAUCAACUGUUAUUAAGCUGUUUUCGUAGUGAUUAUAACUUCUUUUAGAACUAAUGAAUCAAGUGAUAGCAAGAUAAGCUAAUCGAAACAGCACAAAUAUGAAGGAAAAUAAGUUCUGCUUUCUUAAGGUUUCAAAUUUUUUCAAGUUUGGAGGCUUAUGUGAAUCUCUAACAAUUGUUCAAAUUGUUGUAUCCAAGUAUGCAUUAUACAUUCAAUUGAGCCAAUGAAGCAUGUGUGCCAACAAAUUUUGAAGAGUUUGGCUUGGUUUUCUCUCUUUGGUCUUUAAUAUUUAAGUGUGAGACACCUGUUUGUUCACUAAUUGAGACCCUUCCCUAAGUUUUUAGUAGAUAUUGUGUAAUUUGCUUUUAUGAGCACUUCUUUAAGCUGUCAAAUCCCCAAAAUGUACAAGGAGAUAUCAAGUUUAAAAAGUCACGAACUGUGAUCAAACCAAAUGCAGUGAAAUUAGGGAUUUUACACUUGAAAAACUUAGUUAGCUUUAGACCAUAGGAUUAGCAUUUUGCAUAUAUGAGUAUCAUUGACUUGCUCAUUUUAUUUUUCUGGAUAAGAAACAAACUAUUAUUGAAGGGAGAAGAAAGUGUACAAAAACAAAGUUUCUGUAAGCUUGCACUCAUAUACCUAAUAUUUUAAUUUCUUUUCUUGGCAGGUAUUUUCUCUGAUAUUAGAGGCUAUUACUUGGUGCUCUACGCUGAAUGACCUAUUUUUGAGAAAGGCAUGGAUUACUUUCAGGCAUUUUCCAUACACAAUUGGAUCAUGAUAAUAUUUUGAGGCAAUUCAAUUUAUUCCACAUGUGAAUAGUUUUGAAUUCAAAGUUUAGUUUUUCGAUUUCAAUCUGGCAUAUGAUAUUUGAAUAGCAGAAGCAUUUUCUGUGUCAUUUUAAUUUUCUGAAAGUUAACUAAGUGAAACAAUAUUUUGUCAUUUUUCUUCAGGUAAAUAAAAUAAUGUUUCGUAAUCUUUAUGUAAGUACUAUUGUCAAUCCAAAGCCACAAGAAAUACCAUUCAAAAGGGACUCAAGAAAAGCGAUAUUGUCGCUAGAACUGAAUAUGAAUGGUUUCUUAUAGCAUGUAUAUCCAUAUAUAGCAAGCAAAGUUUCACUUCAUUGGUUUUUAGAUGCUAGACCGUCUUUUUAGUUACUUUCUAUGGAAAUUAUUCAUGCAUGUUGUAGAUAAUGGUUUCAAAACCCGCAACAAAGUGAGGGCAAAUUUUCUAGUUCAAACUAAACAAAGAACCAAAUAAAAACCAUUCAAUCUCAUGGUAAAAUGCCAUUCCAUCAAAUAAGAAUGCAAAUAAACAUAGAAAACGGGACUAGCUACAACUAGAAGAAUCAAAUUUCUCAUUGUCAUAGACAGCCAUAACAAAUAAUUUCAUCCCAAUAGCCAUAAUAAAUAAUUUCAUCCAAUUUUAUCAUAAAGAUUGGAGGGUUCGCAGUGACUCUAUUCUUGAGCCAUCUUCAAUUCGGAACACACACAAGCGUCGUCGUUCUCCUUUUUGAAUGAAAACUCUCAGACCACGUAUAGUAUAUUAGUCCAUUUUUGUGGCUUUAGAAACCCUAUAAUUAUUUUGAUCGAAUGCAACUUAGUAGAAGGAAGUAGGGUGUUAAAAUGACAGAAAUAACCCUGAACACAAGUCAUGUCACUCGCACAUGACUUACUUUGAAUGGAAAACUUAACGGAAUUAGGAUGAGAUGACAAAUUGAUGAUAUGAGAAAGUUGGUAUGAAAAAUUACUUAAAAUUUUAGUUUAUUUGACAAAUUGAAAAAUAUGUACAAAGUUUAUAUGAGAUUUCAAAAAUUUUCCUUUUUCCCAAAUUAUCUAUUCUGAAGUUAGGAGCAAUUGACCGUAGCUUAGCUAUAGUCAAAUCUUUGCCACUCAAUUUCACACUAUUUACAACAAUGCCAUCAAAAUGGGGUUGGGUUGGGAGGGUAAUUCUCAAAAGUUGAGAGGGUAAUUUUGUCCGUAUGGUUUAGAACGGAUUGCGAUGGGUUUAGACGCGUGCGCUGUCUUCUCAUCUUUCACUCUUCCUGUUUCUGUCCUUGUCUACCGGAAAACCCACAAUCUUUCAUCUUCCUCUGCUUUUCCUCUCUCCCCGCUCCCCAUAUCCCUCGGCAUGAAGCACACAAACCAAGUAGUCACGGUCGAAAGCCUCAAACAUGGCGGAGGCGAAAUGGAGGUGCAGUGACGGUCGACAACUGCCUCCGGUGUCGAUGAUUUUGGCCGUCAGAAAGCGUCCUCGCUCCGAUUAUGGUAUGUUGAAUUUCUCGAUUCUCCCUUUAUUUGAGUCUCCUCUCUCCUUUUGCGUUUGUUUAGGGUUUAUAAAUUAGGGUUCUUAGGGAUUUUAGGGUUUUCUCGCUUUUUUUUUUCUUCAGAAAUUGCACUGUAUUUCUCAGAUCGGAGCUGUUCUUAUUUUGAAAAAAUUGGACUAAUGUUGAUUUUAGCUUUCGUCUUUCUGGUAAUUACUCUGAACCCCCAAAAGAUUUGAAAUUUCUGGUAAUUGUUCUCAUUGUUUUUGACAAUUUGUAUAAAUUGCUGCCAUUGUGUUGUGAAGUGUUAUGAGUAUUUCAAAGAACACCGAUUCUAUCAAUUGCAAUUCUGCAGAUGACUAAUGAAAAAAAAACGCCUAGAAAACACCAUCGGAUGAUGUUUUAAUCAAUUGAGAAAAGUGUAAUUACUCACAUUUUAACAAAUUAAGGUUUCUUAUUUCACUUCUUUGCAGGAAGCUAUUAAUUUUGCAUCAAGCGGAGAAGUGGCUGACGGUCAACGUAAGCUCAUAGCUCUUGCAGCUGCAAGAGGAAACUCAAGUGCAGUAAAUCCUCUGGUCACACAACUCACUAAUGGACUUUUGGGUGAUCUUCAUGAGAAGGUUAAUUUAUCCACAUUGGAGAAUUUCUCAUUAUACAAUUCUACUGAAUUUUUUUUUCAAAUUUAAAUUUGAAUAUAAAUUUUAAAAUUUUGGUUUUGAUUAUGCAGUUCGUGGAUUCUGUGCUGCUGUGGUAUAUUUAAAUGUUGCCGUCCUCCACUGUUUGAGCCUGGGCCUCCUCCACCACCGUAGUGGUAUAUUUUCUUAGGAGCCUACUUUGCAUGAAUUAUUUUGUGUAAUUGGUUGACUUAAAUCUUUAUUUGAUCUAACUAUUCCAAUUUGGCUAAUUUGUUUUUUAAUUUUUUAUUAUAUUGGAGUGGUAUUUUGGGUAUGCUAUCUUUGGAUGCUUAGAAAGAUAGUAAUUUACUUUUGUGUUUGAUUUUUCACUAAUGGUAUGUUGUGAUGGGGUUUAGUAAUUUUCAGUAUUCUUCAAUUAUUUUGAAUUUGCAAAAUCAAAUAACUCGUGGAAAUAAAUUAAUAUUUCAUUAAUCUGUAUGUAAGAGGACUUUACAAUAUGUCAUCAAGUUUAGACCGACAACAAUGAAUGGCAAACUUAGGAUUAAUGCCUCUAUUAAUUUGAUGUUUUCUCAUGGUCGAGAAAUAUAUACAGCUGUCCUAUUUAUUGGACAACAUCACUCAUCCUCUAUAUUUAAUAUUAAUUGCUUUUCUUAAUCUAUUUUUCCGUCAAUCUUUUCUGCUACCUAAUCUCAUUUGUUUUUCGAUUUUGUGAAAUGUUUUGGAAGCGGGAGUGUUUGAAAUGUAUUGAUGCUGAUGAUAGUGCCGAAUUUGGUGACACUCCUCAACUAGCAGAGCAGUAACAGAGCUUCUUCCAACUCAAAUUUAAUGAUUCAAGCUGCGUAAGAUUUGCAUAACAUUCCCAAGUUGUAGUCGAUGUGCCUUAGUGGUUGAGUGCUUGACUAAUGAAUGUAACCACUAAGAUUUGGAUUGUUUUUGGGGGGUAAGAAAUAACAUUGCUAAUUUCGGAUUUAUGGGUUUGAAUUUUUGUCGAGCAUGUGAUUCUUUGUUCUCUGUGUAUUGAUUGACUGAUGAAAAAAUGUAGCCAUAAAAUAUUGAUUUUGACAAUUUUGAUUAUGAGAUCGCCUCUUUAUAUAAUGUACAAUUUUUGUAGUUGCCUUCAAUGUUGUUGUCAUUGGCUCGGGUGCUCAAAAGAUCUAUAAAAUGUUGUUUUGCCAAUAAUGUGGGUAUUGAGUUGAAUAUCAUAAAAGUGAACAUCUGUAACUAUAGAUCUGCAAAUGUUUGGUAGAUAGAGCAAUUUGGGAAUUUGUUACCUAAACAUUGAUGGAUAACAUGUAAUCAUUUUUUUUACGUGAAUGUUGAAUGUUGAAUGCCUUAUCGUUUUGGUUUUUAACAUGCCAUUGUUUAUCUAUAUCCAAAAUGAGUCUGAAUCUUUUCAAAUAAAUGUUACUUUCUGAUUUGAGAAAUUGUAAUUCACCUUUUAUUGAUCUUUUCCUAUAUAUUUGAUUUACAGAGCUCUUGGGUUGUCAAUUGUGACUGGAAAUUCUACUCCUCACAUGGAUCAUAGGCAAGGUAUUAAAUAUCGAUGAUAUCGGAAAUAUCGAUAGUCCAAAAACACAGAAAUUUCGAUGGAAAUAUCGGGAUAUUAUCGAUAUCGAUAAAAAUUGAAUAAAAACCCUGGAAAUUGUAAGAAAAACUUGGAAAUUUUUAUUGAAACUUUGCAGGAUGUUUAUUUAGUCAAUUAUCUAUUAGUUUAUCACAAAAAAUUGGAAGGAAAUGCAUUGCAUGAUAGAUAUAACUUAUUUAAGUUGAUUAUAUAGCGAGCUGGCAAACAUUGUGAGUGUAGAAAAUAUGUAGUAAUUAAUGAAAGAAGUUUAAACACACCAUAAUCAUUUAUAUAUAAUGAAUUAGUACAAUAUUUUACACUUUAUACAUUGCAUGGUAAGAUACAUGAGUGACUUAGUAAGGUCUAAAAUAUCGAUGAUAUCGGAAAUAUUGGUAGUCCAAAAACACGGAAAUUUCGAUGGAAAUAUCGGGAUAUUAUGGAUAUUUUAGACCAUGAUCAUAGGUAAAAAACACUAUUUUCUUUUCUUAGUACUUUUCCUUCAAAUGUGUUUUAUUCUGAGAUUGUCUCUUUAUAUAUUGUAAAUUUCUAAACUUAUGCAAAC